UCUUUAUUCGCCGCAAACUUCUCGCGAGAAGCUUGCGGCGGAAACCCUAAUCCACUUCCUCUAUACAUCCAUAUUUUUUUAUCUAUAUAUAUCAAUCAAUCGUGGAUGUUUUAAUAUGAUUUCCCCUUCUUUCUCUUAGAUCUAUUGAAAGCAUGAUUAUGUUUUGAUGUCCCAAUGAGGAAGAACAACUUUCUUGAUAGGAAGUGCCGUAUGACUCGUUAAACAGCAACUGUGGCAUCUAGUUACUUCCACCCAUCUUCGUUUGCUCCAUUCUUUUCAUAUUCUUUAAGAAUUGAACUGUUGUGGAUGUUAAAAUGAAUGGCUAUGUGGAAUGACUUGAACUCGUCACGGUUGUGUGUGUGAUUUUAAACAGUUCUCUGAGGGUUUUUGUUUUGCGUUUUAUUUUAGCUGUUUUGGUUAAGGCCUGAUGCCACGUCUCCAGAAGCGAAUGCAGUGACUGGUGAUGCUAUUAUCAAGCCAAUACAAAGGCCUUUUGGCAUUUCGUUUGCUGAUAGGAAUCUGUUGAUAACUUUUAAUUUAUCUACGGAGCCGUUUACGGCGAUUACAUCAUUUUUCAUUGUCUGCCUAUUUCAAUUUGCAUAAUGUGAUUUGUAGAUAUCCUUUGCAAGUGACGAUAAACAUAGACAGGGACAUCUGUACUCUUAGAGAGGUUGAUGAUUGGUUCUAUGGGAAAUGGGAAUCUCUCCGAUGCAAUUUCUUUUUCUUUUGCUGAGUUAUAAGUUUUUCUCGUCACUUCUUUGCCUGUGAUGCAUAGAUAUGCACGUAUUAUCAGACUUUAAAUGAUGACGAAUACAUUGUCACUACCACUGAGGCUCUUCUUUGUUUUUUUCUACACUUGGAGUUUUUUGUUUUGUUUUGAUUGUUUACGAAUGAGUUUUUGACUCCGAUGAUGAUUAAACAUUAAACUUUCGUUCUUCUGAGUUUACAAGCAUUGCGGAAUAAAAAUGGAGACCUGAACUGAGGAGUUUAUAUUUUUUGUGAUUUGAUGCUUCCUUUCUCGGUGUGUCGUUUUGUUUAUAUGGUUUCAUUCAGUUUUCUGUAAGGUGCCUAUGAUUCCUAUAAAUAUACUUUGAUCUAACUUCAUGAAAAGAUUUUAAUCUGAGGCACUAAUGCAAUAAUAAAUGUGGUUUAUCGUCCUAACAAAUCUUUGUUUUUCGAUUGGGCAUUACUUGUGGUGAUUUUGUUAGAUUAUUCAGGUGUCAGUUUAGGUAGGACAUCGAAUCUGUGCUACCCAAAUGUAAAUCGUUUAAGAGCUCUUAGAAGUACCCACCCACAUUUUGAACAGUCUCUCCAGUCUAACGGCUGGUUUCUCGCUCCAGUGCCACGCUCCCACCAUUGUGAGCACCCAGCUGUUAUACUGAGUCUCAGAGGAUCUGAUUCUCUUCUUCCGCUCACCUUACUAGUCAAGCAUUUCUUCUUGGAUCCUUUUGGUGCAACUUUUUGAUUGGUUUUGUGGCUGGCCGUGCUCUCUGGUGCUUGUUGCCCCGCUGUUCUCCAGGCAUUAAUCUGAACUCAAUCUCUAAUGUUUUUAGUAAAUCAAGGUAAAAUGGUCAGUUUUUAAUCUUUUGAAAUCAAUCUCUCUAGCUAUUGUAUUGUAACUGGUUUAUUUUCCUCUAUUGUGUCUGGUUUCCGAAAAUUUUCCA
Molecule: long non-coding RNA, 1664 nt
Organism: Zingiber officinale
Lineage: Eukaryota; Viridiplantae; Streptophyta; Magnoliopsida; Zingiberales; Zingiberaceae
Exons: 2
Source: RefSeq, a predicted model, not a curated record